This 252-nucleotide ribosomal RNA is filed under the name uncultured bacterium. RNAcentral describes it as "partial 16S ribosomal RNA". It matches the Rfam family "Bacterial small subunit ribosomal RNA", at positions 524 to 776 of the family's 1533-position model. The record is from RNAcentral.
UACGUAGAGUGCAAGCGUUGUCCGAAAUUAUUGGGCGUAAAGGGUACGCAGGCGGAUAGUAAAGUCAAGCGUGAAAGGUGUCGGCUUAACCGACAGACUGCGUUUGAAACUGAUUAUCUUGAGUGUAACAGAGGAGAGUGGAAUUCCUAGUGUAGCGGUGAAAUACGUAGAUAUUAGGAAGAACACCAGUGGCGAAGGCGACUCUCUGGGUUAACACUGACGCUGAGGUACGAAAGCUGGGGGAUAAACGGG